Non-coding RNA from Cordylochernes scorpioides, 75 nucleotides. NCBI's taxonomy places the organism in Eukaryota, Metazoa, Arthropoda, Arachnida, Pseudoscorpiones, Chernetidae. The record is from the annotation of a GenBank genome assembly.
GUCCAGAAAUGGGAAUCGAACCCACACUGUUCCGCUUACCAGGCAGAUGCCAUGUUCACACUAGGCUACCCUGGA